Molecule: long non-coding RNA, 369 nt
Organism: Capra hircus (goat)
Lineage: Eukaryota; Metazoa; Chordata; Mammalia; Artiodactyla; Bovidae
Exons: 2
Source: RefSeq, a predicted model, not a curated record
AAAGAUAAACUCCAACCAAGCAACGAGGAAGACUAAUUGGUGAUCGGACUCCCACGUCUAAGGAGGGCUUGCGUUUGGAUGACGGAGAUGUCUCGGCAAACAAUUCCAGGUGCAAGAAGAAACUAGCGUGCGAACAAUAGAAAAUCUGCAAAGGGGUGGAGGGGGCAGAGAAGUGAUGAAAGACAUUCAGGACAAACAGUCCAAAGGAACUGAAUAUAUUGGAACAAAACCUCUGAGGUGUUGAAAGAAUCUUACCAAGCCAACUCUGAAGAAGAAAGUCCAGAAAUGCAAUUACUCCAGCCCUGAGGAGUAAAUAUCUAAAAUGAGAAGCCAGACAGAAAGCAAACCAGAAUAAAGACUUAAAUUAAC